UAAUUGAAGAGUUUGAUCAUGGCUCAGAUUGAACGCUGGCGGCAGGCCUAACACAUGCAAGUCGAGCGGCAGCACAGAGGAACUUGUUCCUUGGGUGGCGAGCGGCGGACGGGUGAGUAAUGCCUGGGAAAUUGCCCGGUAGAGGG
Molecule: ribosomal RNA, 146 nt
Filed under: Vibrio cholerae
Lineage: Bacteria; Pseudomonadati; Pseudomonadota; Gammaproteobacteria; Vibrionales; Vibrionaceae
Description: partial 16S ribosomal RNA
Rfam family: Bacterial small subunit ribosomal RNA
Source: RNAcentral